Long non-coding RNA from Mus musculus (house mouse), 480 nucleotides. RefSeq annotates it as predicted gene, 35330. The transcript is spliced from 4 exons. Lineage: Eukaryota; Metazoa; Chordata; Mammalia; Rodentia; Muridae. The record is from RefSeq and is a predicted model, not a curated record.
AUGGAGCCUAGUAGAACUCAGCCACAGGGCUAGGAGGGGCUUUCAGUUUUCAGAAUGUGGCGUCCAGAUGAGCCACAUACUUGAGAAGUCACAAAGGUCUUCAAACCUAAGAAGAGAGUGGGGGUGGAGGUGGUUAUGACUCAGCAGGGUGCCUGGAAUGCCCUGGGUUCUUGCCACUCAGGAGCUAGGGACACAGAGCCAGACAGCUGUGGUACAGAGAAAGAAGGGAGAGAGUUCUGUACAGGAGCAGAUCACAGUGUGAAGCAUUUGGUGUGACCUCCAAGAGCUGCGGUUCUGUUCUUGUGGUCUCGGAAGUGGUCCUCGGAGCCUAGCAUUAUGGACAGGGUUUCUCUGUUUAACAGCCGUGGUUGUCCUGGAACUCACACUUUAUAGACCAGCCUGAUCUUGAACACUCAGAGACCCACCAGCAUCUGAUUCCUGAUGGGAUUAAAGGCCAGUCAACACCCUUCAGCCUGACUG